RNAcentral lists this ribosomal RNA (253 nucleotides) under uncultured bacterium. RNAcentral's name for it is "partial 16S ribosomal RNA". It matches the Rfam family "Bacterial small subunit ribosomal RNA", at positions 524 to 776 of the family's 1533-position model. The record is from RNAcentral.
UACGUAGGGUGCAAGCGUUAAUCGGAAUUACUGGGCGUAAAGCGUGCGCAGGCGGCUUUGCAAGUCCGAUGUGAAAUCCCCGGGCUUAACCUGGGAACUGCAUUUGUGACUGCAUGGCUAGAGUGCGGCAGAGGGGGAUGGAAUUCCGCGUGUAGCAGUGAAAUGCGUAGAUAUGCGGAGGAACACCGAUGGCGAAGGCAGCCUCCUGGGCCAGCACUGACGCUCAUGCACGAAAGCGUGGGGAGCAAACAGG